AGAGUUUGAUCCUGGCUCAGGAUGAACGCUAGCGGCAGGCCUAACACAUGCAAGUCGAGGGGCAGCGGGAGUAGCAAUACUUGCCGGCGACCGGCGGAAGGGUGCGUAACGCGUGAGCAACAUUCCCGUAUCAGGGGGAUAACCGAUGGAAACGUCGCCUAAUACCCCAUAACAACGGUCAUCGCAUGAUGGCGGUUUGAAAGCUACGGCGGAUACGGAUUGGCUCGCGUGACAUUAGCUGGUUGGCGGGGCAACGGCCCACCAAGGCGACGAUCAUUAGGGGUUCUGAGAGGAAGGUCCCCCACAUUGGUACUGAGACACGGACCAAACUCCUACGGGAGGCAGCAGUGAGGAAUAUUGGUCAAUGGGCGGAAGCCUGAACCAGCCAAGUCGCGUGAGGGAAGACGGCCCUACGGGUUGUAAACCUCUUUUGCGCGGGGGUAAAGUCGGGGACGUGUCCCCGAUUGCAAGUACCGCGCGAAUAAGGAUCGGCUAACUCCGUGCCAGCAGCCGCGGUAAUACGGAGGAUCCGAGUGUUAUCCGGAUUUAUUGGGUUUAAAGGGUGCGUAGGCGGGACGUCAAGUCAGUGGUGAAAUGGUGCGGCUCAACCGUAGCACCGCCGUUGAAACUGGGGUCCUUGAGUGCGAAUGAGGUACGCGGAACGUGUCAUGUAGCGGUGAAAUGCAUAGAUAUGACACAGAACACCGAUUGCGAAGGCAGCGUACUGGGACGCGACUGACGCUGAGGCACGAAAGUGCGGGGAUCGAACAGGAUUAGAUACCCUGGUAGUCCGCACAGUAAACGAUGAAUGCUAGCUGUGGGCGACACACGGUCUGUGGCCAAGCGAAAGCGAUAAGCAUUCCACCUGGGGAGUACGUUCGCAAGAAUGAAACUCAAAGGAAUUGACGGGGGCCCGCACAAGCGGAGGAACAUGUGGUUUAAUUCGAUGAUACGCGAGGAACCUUACCCGGGCUUGAAAUCGGGACGACGCGGGGGGAGACCCCCGUUCCAGCAAUGGCGUCCCGGUAGGUGCUGCAUGGUUGUCGUCAGCUCGUGCCGUGAGGUGUCGGCUUAAGUGCCAUAACGAGCGCAACCCCCGCCGCCAGUUGCCAUCAUUCGGUUGGGCACUCUGGCGGGACUGCCACCGCAAGGUGCGAGGAGGGUGGGGAUGACGUCAAAUCAGCACGGCCCUUACGUCCGGGGCGACACACGUGUUACAAUGGGGGGGACAGAGGGAGGCCAGGCGGCGACGCCGAGCGGAUCCCGAAACCCCCUCUCAGUUCGGAUCGGAGUCUGCAACCCGACUCCGUGAAGCUGGAUUCGCUAAUAAUCGCGCAUCAGCCAUGGCGCGGUGAAUACGUUCCCGGGCCUUGCACUCACCGCCCGUCA
This 1389-nucleotide ribosomal RNA is filed under the name uncultured bacterium. Its description in RNAcentral is "16S ribosomal RNA". It matches the Rfam family "Bacterial small subunit ribosomal RNA". The record is from RNAcentral.